This 2240-nucleotide unclassified non-coding RNA is filed under the name Hevea brasiliensis (rubber tree). The record is from RNAcentral. Lineage: Eukaryota; Viridiplantae; Streptophyta; Magnoliopsida; Malpighiales; Euphorbiaceae.
GAGAGGGUAAAAACCUUGAUUUCAUCUGCACAGCGAGAAGCACUGGCCAGAGCCAAAACUCUUGAAAUGUUUAUGUACAGAGCUCAAGAGUCAUGAGGUUCUUGGACAAUUAAUGUAAUCCGCUGUUUACCACUGUCUGAUCGGAAGUUAUCUCCUUUAAACCCAAUCUCUACAGAACUGUCAGGUGGGAACCACCGUAACAGAAUACCAAGAUUUGCCACCGCAGGAAUUAGCUUGAAAAGCAGGGGAGUCAUUAUCUGCAAGAGUUUUAUUCAAAUAAACACCUGAGAGAAGUAACUUAAAUUUUUUUCCUGAAAAUAUAAUCAUCAAUGCUUUUAGUUUUCUCAGUAGUUGUAUCACCAAGGUUGACACAAAUAAAUCAGACCAAUAUUGAUUUGUUGAAUAUUCCACUUGAUUACCAGCCAUACUUACAAAUUAAAAUAAUAAUUUUAAGAAGGAAAGGUAAUUUUUCACUCUUAUGAAAACAGGCAUGGAUACAUACAUUUGUUUUGAGUGGUAGAUAUGUACAUCUUUAGAAGCACAAAAUGUACACAAAUUUUAAAUGGUAUAAUGAUUCCCAUAUCCAGAACUCCACAGCCAUUUUCAAUUUUAUUCAAUGUUCUAACUUUAUCAAUUUAGUCUGUGAACUUUGAAUUAGUGACAAUUGAGUCCCACCAAACAAGAGUUGAGGAGGUGCAUAAUUGACGAUUUAACACUGACAUGGCAUAUGCUCAGUUGGAGGUUGAGGCUAAGUGGGAAAGUCUUCUAACCAAUAGACUCCACCUAAUGUCCUUGAGAGGACCAAAAACAUUGUUGAUUAAAUGAUUUUCUAACAGAGUUUCACCAGCUGUUUUUAGGGCACCAUUGGACCCACUAAUAAGAAUAGUUCUCUAUUCAAUCUCAACCCUAGCUAGCCAUGCAUUAUUAAUGUCACACCUUCAAUUACACACACCACUUCCUCAGUGGAUAUAUAGAAUUGAAUAUGGCUGCAAAUUUUAGGAUAUUAAGAUCAUCAGCCCUUCUACACUGUCACAUUAAUUGUAAGAAGCACAGUCAACUUGCAGUAAAUGCACAUUAUUCCACUAGUCCACAAGUUACCUUUCAUUUCACAUAUUUUUCACUUCAUUUUCAGGAGAGUUUAGAAAUUGUAACUUCAUAAAGAAGUAAGAUGGAAAAUUCACAAUCUUCUGAGGAGAGGAAAUAAAAAGAGGUACCAGAUACUUGAUAUAGAUUUCCACCAUGGACAAUCAUCAUAGUGCAAUAAGGUGCAUGAGAAAUGCAAUGUAAAAAAGGAGCUUAAAAUCCGUUAGAUGUCACAUCAAUGAGGGAUUCAAUCAUAUUGUUUCCAUACCAGGCUAAGAGCUGUUGUCCCAAGAAGAAGUAGGUAAAGCUUCCCCUGAAAAUGUUCAAAGCAUUAGCUCUACAGCAGCACAAAAUUGCCUCUCCCCUAUAAUGUUAGGGGUGAAAAGAUUUUCUUCAGGAAGCAAAUGCCACAGACUAUUAGUGAUUAACAGAUAAUGUACACAAAAAAAAAAAUGCAAAAAACUUGCUUGGUAUGCUAAGGGGCUAAUGUUUUCUAUUUUUGGUUUCUGUUGUUGAAUUUUGCAAUUUUAUUUUUUGGAAAACAAGUCAAAGAAAGUGGAAAAACCACUUUUAUGAUUUUUCUGUGCUGUAACAACCUGUUUUCUAUUUUAGAAUGCCACAAAAGCCAAAUUUAAUCUAUAUAAAUUUCUGACGAUUGGAAAACAGAAUGGAUAUCAAAAAGGCCCUAAACUUCUCAUUUCUCAUAGCAAGAGCAUUGUCACAAUAGACUUCAACAGUAGAACUAACCUCAACUAGAUGAAGAUUAGAAGCACAGCUGAGAAAAACAAAAGCAAACUCCCCUAUUUGUGCCAGAGACAUUCCAACCUAUAAAUGCAUGCCCCCUCAACCAGUGAAUCCAAAGGGGGGGUGGUGGUGGGGGGUUGGGGAGAGAAAGAGCAUUACAGCAAGCCAUCAAACAAAAUCUUACAAGCAUUGCAGUCUUGUUGCUAUAACCAAAUCCUUUCACAACGGUAGUGAUUAUGGUUGUCUUUAUGAUUAUGACUACUAUAACAGAUGCCAGCAAUAUAUCAACAUGGUUCCAGAGAAAAUGAACAUGGAUCAGCAUCCCAAUGCUGGCAAGGAAUAAAGCAGCAAAAAAAUUCCGAAUGGGUUCUAUUUGUUCUAGUGUAUGAUGAGCAAGAUCAGUUGUUGAUAUC